This 497-nucleotide ribosomal RNA is filed under the name uncultured bacterium. Its description in RNAcentral is "partial 16S ribosomal RNA". It matches the Rfam family "Bacterial small subunit ribosomal RNA", at positions 28 to 507 of the family's 1533-position model. The record is from RNAcentral.
GAUGAACGCUGGCGGCGUGCCUAAUACAUGCAAGUCGAGCGAACGGACGAGAAGCUUGCUUUUCUGAUGUUAGCGACGGACGGGUGAGUAACACGUGGAUAACCUACCUAUAAGACUGGGAUAACUUCGGGAAACCGGAGCUAAUACCGGAUAAUAUUUUGAACCGCAUGGUUCAAAAGUGAAAGACGGUCUUGCUGUCACUUAUAGAUGGAUCCGCGCUGCAUUAGCUAGUUGGUAAGGUAACGGCUUACCAAGGCAACGAUGCAUAGCCGACCUGAGAGGGUGAUCGGCCACACUGGAACUGAGACACGGUCCAGACUCCUACGGGAGGCAGCAGUAGGGAAUCUUCCGCAAUGGGCGAAAGCCUGACGGAGCAACGCCGCGUGAGUGAUGAAGGUCUUCGGAUCGUAAAACUCUGUUAUUAGGGAAGAACAUAUGUGUAAGUAACUGUGCACAUCUUGACGGUACCUAAUCAGAAAGCCACGGCUAACUACGUG